Molecule: ribosomal RNA, 419 nt
Filed under: uncultured bacterium
Lineage: Bacteria
Description: bacterial SSU rRNA
Rfam family: Bacterial small subunit ribosomal RNA
Source: RNAcentral
UGGCGAAAGGGAGAGUAACGCGUGGUUACGUGCCCUCGGGACCGGGAUAGCGUCGGGAAACUGGCGGUAAUACCGGAUAACAUCUUUGGAUCAAAUGGUGUGAUUCCGCCCGAGGAUCGGACCGCGUACUAUUAGCUUGUUGGUGAGGUAACGGCUUACCAAGGCUGCGAUGGUUACCGGGUGUGAGAGCAUGGCCCGGCUCACUGGGACUGAGACACUGCCCAGACAUCUACGGAUGGCUGCAGUCGAGAAUCUUCGGCAAUGGACGAAAGUCUGACCGAGCGACGCCGCGUGCGGGAUGAAGGCCCUCGGGUUGUAAACCGCUGUCAGUUUGGAGGAAAUCCAUAGGGGUCAUCCCUUAUGGUUGACCGAUAUUCAGAGGAAGGACGGGCUAAGUUCGUGCCAGCAGCCGCGGUAAC